CCUACGGGCGGCAGCAGUGAGGAAUAUUGGUCAAUGGACGAGAGUCUGAACCAGCCAAGUAGCGUGAAGGAUGACUGCCCUAUGGGUUGUAAACUUCUUUUAUAUGGGAAUAAAAUGUUCCACGUGUGGGAUUUUGUAUGUACCAUAUGAAUAAGGAUCGGCUAACUCCGUGCCAGCAGCCGCGGUAAUACGGAGGAUCCGAGCGUUAUCCGGAUUUAUUGGGUUUAAAGGGAGCGUAGGUGGAUUGUUAAGUCAGUUGUGAAAGUUUGCGGCUCAACCGUAAAAUUGCAGUUGAAACUGGCAGUCUUGAGUACAGUAGAGGUGGGCGGAAUUCGUGGUGUAGCGGUGAAAUGCUUAGAUAUCACGAAGAACUCCGAUUGCGAAGCCAGUUCACUGGACUGCAACUGACACUGAGGCUCGAAAGUGUGGGUAUCAAACAGGAUUAGAUACCCUAGUAGUC
Molecule: ribosomal RNA, 460 nt
Filed under: uncultured bacterium
Lineage: Bacteria
Description: partial 16S ribosomal RNA
Rfam family: Bacterial small subunit ribosomal RNA
Source: RNAcentral